Molecule: ribosomal RNA, 494 nt
Filed under: uncultured bacterium
Lineage: Bacteria
Description: partial 16S ribosomal RNA
Rfam family: Bacterial small subunit ribosomal RNA
Source: RNAcentral
GACGAACGCUGGCGGCGUGCUUAACACAUGCAAGUCGAACGGAAAGGCCUGCUUUCCCUUGUGGAUUGCGGGUACUCGAGUGGCGAACGGGUGAGUAACACGUGAGUGAUCUGCCCCCAACUUGGGUAUAAGCCUGGGAAACUGGGUCUAAUUCCCGAUAGGACUGCAGGGUGGUGCCUGUGGUGGAAAACGAUUUUCUAGUGGUUGGGGAUGAGCUCGCGGCCUAUCAGCUUGUUGGUGGGGUAAAGGCCUACCAAGGCGGCGACGGGGAGCCGGCCUGGGAAGGGUGACCGCCACAUUUGGACUGGGAUAAGGCCCAGACUCCAACCGGGAGCAGGCAGUGGGGAUAAUUGGCAAAGGGCGGGAGCCUGAAGCCGCGACGGCGCGGUGGGGGUGACCGGCUUCGGGGUGGAAACUCCUUUCGAACACGAGGAAGCCACCUUGGUUGGAGGGUGGUGACGGUAGUGGUAGAAGAAGCACCGGCUAACUACGUG